AAAAAUCUUUUUAAGGUUUUAUGUUAACAUCAUUUAUCCAUGGAUGCUUGACUCCCUAAGUGAAGCAACUUUUAUAGCCGUUAAGGUAAUACAAGACAACAUUGCCUCAGCCGUUAAGGUAUGAAGAUAACAUAUGGUAAGGUUGCUUAGAGAUUCCAUGGGUCAAUUUUAUCGGUGGUCCGUCAAUUUAGGUGUUGUAGUGG
Molecule: unclassified non-coding RNA, 203 nt
Filed under: Hevea brasiliensis (rubber tree)
Lineage: Eukaryota; Viridiplantae; Streptophyta; Magnoliopsida; Malpighiales; Euphorbiaceae
Source: RNAcentral